ACCUGCUUUUCAGUCUACUUUUCUACUAUUGCUUUCCACUCAUUGAAGGUCCCAAACACAACAUUUUUCUGUUUCAAGAAAGAUACCCAAACUUUCUUGGAGAAAUCAUCAAUUAUUGUCAACAAAUAAUAAGCACCUCAUUUACUAGGUAUUCUUGCCAUUCCCCAAAGAUUUGAAUGGAUAUAUUCAAGGGUUUUCUUGUUUUGUAUCUACUUUAGUAAAUCUAACUCUUUU
This 234-nucleotide long non-coding RNA is filed under the name Olea europaea subsp. europaea. The record is from RNAcentral. Lineage: Eukaryota; Viridiplantae; Streptophyta; Magnoliopsida; Lamiales; Oleaceae.